Molecule: long non-coding RNA, 2715 nt
Organism: Megalobrama amblycephala (Wuchang bream)
Lineage: Eukaryota; Metazoa; Chordata; Actinopteri; Cypriniformes; Xenocyprididae
Exons: 3
Source: RefSeq, a predicted model, not a curated record
UAUUUUUAUGGAAACCAUGAUACAGUUUUUUUAGGAUUAACAUUUAUUUGAAAUGGAAAUGUUUUGUUACAAUGUACAAAGUCUUAAUUAUCACUUUUGAUCAAUUUAAUGCAAAUCUUCUGUAUAUGUUGGGAAAACAAAACAUACCACACUUAAACAUGGUUUGUAUCUAAUGCAGUGACAUUCUGAUAGUUUCUUCUGUACUUUAAAGUGUUUAUAAUCAUCACUUUGUGGACCAGUGUAUAUUUUGUAUAUGUGUGUGUAUUUCUCAAACAUGGAAAUGAUUAUUUUGGUAUUACUUGACAGCUUAUUUCAAAACAGAAAGGCAGACGAAAACUUGCCACAUUAGUCAUGCUCUACCUUUUUGCGUAACCCUGCAUUAAGAGAGAGCAAAUUAGCAGGCCCUUUUCAACAAUUGCAGCUCAAAAUUAGCCUCUCCAGCAGGAAACAUUUAGCCGAAAACAGGUAUAAGUGGACAGGAUCGUGUUUUCUGACUGUAGAAAUGUUGACACAGAGGGGAGCUGGCAGAAACUCAAGUCACAGAAAAGGAGUUUUCUCUCUCCCACAGGUGUGUGUGUGUGUAGAUAGAGAGUGCUGGAGCACACCAGCCAGGCUCUUUGGACACCUGUCAUUCCAUCGUUGCUUUACUGCUUCCUGUCCUGUGGUAUUCACAAGACUCCCUGCUGGAUCUGUGAAAGCUUUACCAGAAGCCUGAGAUAUGGACAGAUACAUAAACAUUCUGACAGAAAACAAAACAGAUCUAAUGCAAAAAAGACUGCAGAAUGGAAGAAAAGAACAUCUUUAUGCACUUCAUAUCCAUUUGAAAUCCAAUAGCUCAAACAAAUACCGAACAGACAAAGUAUUUUAAUUGACACAUAUUGUGAAGUGUUACAGGAUCCUUUGAAUUCUUAAUGGCUUUUUAGUUGGACCAUAUAAAACAUGGUGAAUCCAAACCCAUUACCAAAGGAAUGACAUGAUGAUAUUCAAACCCUGUCCCUCCACAGAAUGCAGGUGCUGCUGGUUAGGAUAUUUAGGGCACGUAUUAUUCCACUUAGAGAAUUUUCAAGGCUUUGUAUUGUACUUAGUAUGAAAUCAUUCAGAUCAGUUUUAGGUCAUACAGGUUUUUGCAUUUUUGGUGGAGUUCAUCGCAAGUGGAAAGUUUCUAAUACUUUUCUGAUGUCUUUAAUUACAGGUCUGACUCUUUCUCUGGCAUCAGUAUCCAACGACAUCCAGUGUGCAGGAGCAGAAAUGAAGUCAGUCUUCACUGAAAUUCCAUGCCGUAAUCGUCCCGUUCCUCGGAAGCCAAAGAAUUCAGACGGCAAAGCAGUUGCUCAGCUCAGUAGCAGCCAGAAACGCACAGACAUCCCAAACAUAUCUGAACGGAAAUGGACCUUAAAUGGAAACUGGAGGUUUUCCUUUUGCCGUUCAUUCCAUCAUGGACCGUUUCCAACACCGUUUCAUCUCCAUCAACAUUGCACGCCCCACUUUGCUGUUUGUGGUCAUUUGUAAUGUAAGCAGUAGCUAACUGGCUGCUUAUAUCAUCUUUUGCAGUGAGACCAAUGAGCUAAUUUUUUGGCUGAACAGUUUUGUUAAUGUAGAUUAGGGCCCAAAACAAGUCAUCCAUUUUGGGUGUGGGUGAGUACAUGCAGAUGGAUUUUUAGAACAAAUAUUUGCUGGAAACUCUCAGGGCUCCAUUAUGUAUGGCGUAAAAAACAAGAAUUGAGUAUAAUGUACAAUUGUGUCUGCUUUAUCCUCAAGCGUUGGCUUGGUUGUUUCUUUUCUUUAUAGAGUUUGGCAAAAUUGUUCGACUGUAGUGGCCAGAUCAGAAAUAAUAUGAAAACCCUUAAUGCAGGCCAUAAAGUGUUCAAAUGAUUUACAAAAUGGCCUCAGUAAAUUUGGCAUUGAAGCUUAUAGUAAAUUGUCAAUAAAAUGUAUGAACUUUCAAAUUUACUUUUUGAAGCCUAACAGGAAGUUUUUGCUGUUCAUUUGUGAUGGUGCUUUAGUAUGUUUGAUCAUGCGGCCUAUUCAUAAUUUAAACCGAUUCUUGUGUGUGUGUUCACACAGUUUGAAGGAUCUUUAGGACAUAUGCUUGUCAUUAUCCAUUGAGGAAAAGCUCUGAGUGAGUGUAAAGGAAAUCCACAAGGCAUAUAUCAGUCAUAUACUGGCGGAACAUUUGCUCUCACACAUCCUUUUUUAAAAUGUACGUCCUCGAUAUGCAUCCAAAAACAAAUAAUUGCGGUCACUCCGCCAUCUGAAAUGAAUUGCCAAAUUGCCCUCUUAAUGUUGCCUCAUUUCAGAUGAGUUUGUGUUGCUGAGUUAUGCCUGAAACCAGCCCGAGACAGAGAGGGGACAUCAGCACUUCAUCAGCACCACAAGAAAACUUUCUUUAAAAGAGUUUCAUCAUUACUGGAUAUGUUAUAAUGGGAUGGUUAAUUGAUGGGAGUUAUGGACUUUAUACUGGUAAUUUGUAAUGAUAAAGCUGACAGAUACAAUUUUAAGGUGUUUGAUGAACAGUUUGGGCAGAGACAUGAUGAUAUGAAUGGGAGAAAUCAUAACACUCAGUAUGGCGCCUGUAGGUUGUAGUUACAAGAUCUCAUUUUUUAUAGAGGCAUCGCCCAUUUGUUUAAACUUGAAUGUGCAUGUGAAUUGGUGGAACAGCCAGAAAAAUACAUAUGUGUGGCAUAAUUUGAUAACAUUUAUGGUUGGUUUCAUUGA